This 1027-nucleotide long non-coding RNA is filed under the name Bos taurus (domestic cattle). Its description in RNAcentral is "long non-coding RNA NONBTAT022322". The record is from RNAcentral. Lineage: Eukaryota; Metazoa; Chordata; Mammalia; Artiodactyla; Bovidae.
CAUAAACUUGACAUUUAUUGUGCAACUUUAUCUCCAACAGAACAAGUGGCAUUCUAGAGGUAUAUGAAGUAAUAAAAUCAAUACUCCAGUUAGAACACCUGAAAUAACUGGCUCUAGUAACAAAUGUUGCUUAUAAUUAAAAAUAUUGAAUGUUUAAAAAACUCUUAUAACAUUUUAAGUUCCUAAAAGAAAUGUGCCUAACACUUAAAAAACAACUUACUCUUCUAUAUAAAUUGUUCACAAAAAAUCUUGCUAUCCUGUAUUACACUAUGCAUUUAUAGCUUUAUUAACAUAUCUCUAGUGGGUAUUAACUCUACACAGUACAAUCAAAUAGAAAUUAUUAAUAAAGAAUCAACAAGACUUCAACAAUAAAAAUAUCAGGAUCAAUGGAUUUGUCACAGUUUCUGCACAUGUGUUCUUCAUAGAAAAUAGAGUAAAGGCAAGUUGGCCCCAGUGUCAGGCUGCUACACGAGUUCCAGGGAGGAGACACACACAGAGGCAAUGCCUACAUGGGGCAGGGUCGGACUGGAGCAGCGACCUUCAGGGUUUCAGGACCCCUCUCACGGCCUGGCAUGCCCUGUUCCCUAGAAACAAAGCCAGGCACUGAUGGCCGAGGCAACCUCUUGAAACUUCAAACACAGCCAGAGGUGUUAAAGCCACAACUAAAGGAAAGGAUCAACAGAUUACUGUAUUUUCCUACAAAACCUUCACGACAAUUCUCACAGUGACAUCAUGGUUAGAACCCUCUCUUCCAAACCAGACUCAUCAAAUCUAAGGCUACGAAUACAACUGAUGUGAAAAGUGAAUGAAUGCUGGCUAAUGAUGUCCAGUGCCACGUCUAACAUCUAUCUGUUCCCAAAGAACAUCACUUCACUGAGUUCAAAGUUUUGCUUUUAUAUCCCUGCAUUUUUGUACUGGGAACCCUAUGAUGGAAAUGUGAACAAAUUAGUCAUUUUAUUCACUACUUCGAUUAAACAACAAAUCUAUCCCCAAAGUGUUGAUGGGUUUUGAGAACGGGAGAAAACUG